UACGAACUGUCCUAACGUUGUCCGGAAUUAUUGGGCGUAAAGGGCUCGUAGGCGGUCUGUCGCGUCGAAAGUGAAAACUCAGGGCUUAACCCUGAGCCUGCUUCCGAUACGGGCAGACUAGAGGUAUGCAGGGGAGAACGGAAUUCCUGGUGUAGCGGUGAAAUGCGCAGAUAUCAGGAGGAACACCGGUGGCGAAGGCGGUUCUCUGGGCCGAUACUGACGCUGAGGAGCGAAAGCGUGGGGAGCGAACAGG
This 253-nucleotide ribosomal RNA is filed under the name uncultured bacterium. RNAcentral describes it as "partial 16S ribosomal RNA". It matches the Rfam family "Bacterial small subunit ribosomal RNA", at positions 524 to 776 of the family's 1533-position model. The record is from RNAcentral.